Molecule: ribosomal RNA, 450 nt
Filed under: uncultured bacterium
Lineage: Bacteria
Description: partial 16S ribosomal RNA
Rfam family: Bacterial small subunit ribosomal RNA
Source: RNAcentral
CCUACGGGUGGCAGCAGUAAGGAAUAUUGGUCAAUGGACGAAAGUCUGAACCAGCCAUCCCGCGUGCAGGAUGAAAGCCCUAUGGGUUGUAAACUGCUUUUAGCAGAGAAGAAAAGCUUCCAUUUAUGGGGGUCUGACGGUAUCUGCAGAAUAAGCACCGGCUAACUCCGUGCCAGCAGCCGCGGUAAUACGGAGGGUGCGGGCGUUAUCCGGAAUUAAGGGGGCGUAGGGGGAGUAAUAAGGCAGAUUAGAAAUCUUGUCGCUUAACGAUAAAAUUGCCAAUGAUACUGGUAAUCUUGAAUGGGGUUGAGGUUAGCGGAAUGUGACAUGUAGCGGUGAAAUGCAUAGAUAUGUCAUGGAACACCAAUUGCGAAGGCAGCUAACUGGGCCUUGAUUGACGCUGAGGCACGAAAGCGUGGGUAGCGAACAGGAUUAGAUACCCUUGUAGUC